Molecule: non-coding RNA, 24 nt
Filed under: Arabidopsis thaliana (thale cress)
Lineage: Eukaryota; Viridiplantae; Streptophyta; Magnoliopsida; Brassicales; Brassicaceae
Source: RNAcentral
AGAAAGUGUUAGGUUUGUAACGAC